This 1162-nucleotide long non-coding RNA is filed under the name Homo sapiens (human). RNAcentral describes it as "HSALNT0382882". The record is from RNAcentral. Lineage: Eukaryota; Metazoa; Chordata; Mammalia; Primates; Hominidae.
UUGAAAAGUGCCUACCCCUGGCCUGGGAUGCUUCCUCCUGGGAUGCUCCCACUUGGAACCCAACUAUUGUGCUGCAGAAGUUUAACUUAACUGUGUAAGGAGGCCAAGAGGAGGCCCUGGCUGCCAGCCAGCAUCAACUUCCAGUGACGUGAGUGUGCCAUUCUGGAACUGGAUCCUGCAGCCUCGGUGGAGCAGCCUCAGCUGAUGCCAUGUGGAACAGAGAUGAACUGCCGCUGCCGAGCUCUGCCCACGUUGCAGAAUCAUGAGCAAAUGUUCAAGUGAUUCUCCUGCCUCAGCCUCCCAAGUAGCUGGGAUUACAGAUGUUGUGGAUUGGCUGUAACUCUGCUCUGGGAUCCAGGCUGAAGGAGCAGGCUCUAUCUGGAACAUUACUAGUCUCCAGGCAGAAGAAAAAGAGACAAUGGAAUGGAUGAUUGAAUGGAUGAAUGAACUCCACAGGAAGAUGAGGAAAGCCUUUAUGGAUGGAGUGAGCUUGCAGCAGAGUCUCAAAGGAAGAAGAAAUAAAACAAACUUCUACAUGGCAAAAUAAACCUCUACAUGGCAAAAUAAACCUCUACAUGGCAAAAUAAACCUCUACAUGGAUAGAGAUCUGUCUCAGACACAUUUUGGUUUCCAUGACUUCUGAAUGGCAGCAUGAGGAGCUCCAUGAACCCUCUCCCCAGUGAAAUGACCAUAAUCUCUGGAAAUUGCUUAAGAUCAAAGCCACAACUAUUUAAAGCCUUUGGAAAUUGUUUUAUGGGGAUGCGGCAAAUUAAUAAACUUUUAUUCAAGAAAAUGUACUAAGUCUCAGUAAGAACAGUGAGAGUCAAUAACAUUUGUACCACAAAAGACUUCCUCCCUCCUUCUUCUAGCUCAGCAUGAUGGAAAAGUUACUCUAAGUAGGUGAAGCCGAGAACACGGGCUACCUCUUUCCCCAGCUCUCAGUUGAGGGCUACUAUAUCUCGCUGGGAGGGCGGCUGCCAGCAUUUCUCAUACCCUCCAGCUUCAUGCUGCAAAAGCUCUACUUUGGACAAGACUGGCUGAUAAAUCUGGGGCUCACUUCGUAAACCUAGCCCCCAAUCAUAGGGCAGAAACUCCACCUCGGCCAUGGCAGGCUGAGAAUACUGGAGCCUGUGUUACCCUGGCCUCAGCUUGCUCAUGGGGC